Molecule: long non-coding RNA, 2914 nt
Filed under: Helianthus annuus (common sunflower)
Lineage: Eukaryota; Viridiplantae; Streptophyta; Magnoliopsida; Asterales; Asteraceae
Description: hypothetical non coding rna
Source: RNAcentral
AUCACAGUGUGUCUUCACACACUUAAAACUUCACACAAACAACCCUCACUACCCACCUCCCUCUCGAUUAUUUUUCAGUAAACAUAAAGAACUCAUGACACACACACACACAUAAAAUACCUCCCUCUCUCUCACUAUUACCUAAACAAACACAGGAAUCAACUCCUCACAAAACAAAACCCAACCCAGCCACACCCCUCCCCUCCCUCUCGAUCUUUUCUCGGUGAAGACAAGCACCCGACCGGCGAGACCACCGGCGGAGCUCCGGUUGGUCAGGUGGUGCCGGUGAGGCCCCCAUGACUCCCCCGUCUUCUUUCUUGUCUGACGGAUCGGACCACCGCCACCACCACCGUCUAGUGGUGGUGCGGCGACUAACAAACAGAGAGAGAGAGAGAGAGAGACAGAAGGAAUGGAGAGGAGAGAGAGAUAACCGGUGGGGUGGUGAGCGGUGGUAACUUCUCGGACCGGUGGUCCUCACCUCGAACUAGUGGUCCUUGUCUCGGACCGGUGGUCCUUGACAUUAUCCGUCGCGUUUCGCGAUUUAUUUUUCGUUCGGGUCUCGUAAAGUUUGGUUUCGGUUCAAAGCUCGAUCUCAGUCAGGGACGCCCGUUCGGUUAACUCGGUGGUGGUUCGGUUCAGUCGCGUAUGAGGUUCAACAGAUCUUGGUUCGAGAGUUCAAGUCAGCCGCGGUUCAGGAAGUUCGAGUCACGGUUCGGUUUUUGGGGUUUGGGUGACGUCUCGGCUCGGGUCAACAGUCAAAGUCCGUCAACGGGUCAGCUUGGUUCGGGUCAGAUUAUGAAGCGGUUUGGUCGACUCGGUCAAACCGAGUCAACCCGGUCAAACACGGUCAACCCGAGUCAACUCAGUUGACUCGGUCGACUUGCAGCAAAAGCGGGGCGAAGACUCGGAAUAUUGUAGAAUGCACGCUAGCGAGUCUCGUCUUGGAAACGACAUCACGAAGUCGUAUUUAGCUAGCUUUGCACAGGAAUAUUUAGAGGCAAAUCUUGAAAAGAACAAAUGGAAGAUGAUUCAUUGAGGAUGAGAAGGAUUUGAAAGUGGAAUCAUUGAGGAGGAGCGGAUGCGUAUCUAAGAAGAUAGAAAACACAGACUAAUGAGAUGAAAGGUUUGAUCAUGAUUGGAAGAAAAAAUGAAGAAAUGUAUGUUCAAGAAAUUGAAAUUAAAGACAGAAAUGUAUGUCCAACACUUUAACUUCUAUGUAUUUUUUUACAUCUUAAUCUUACCUCAUAUGCAUUUGAUGUUGCUCCAUUACUCGGUUGCAAUAGUUUAAGAAGCUCACAAAGUAGUAAUAUUUAAUUGUGCUUUAAAUUUAUGUAUUCGGCAUAUAUUCGAUCACAGGUCUUCAUUAUUGCUAUUGACAUUGCUGAGGUUGAACCUAGCAGAAUGGUACAAGGACCUAACUCUUGAAAAUUUUUACUUAUAACCUUUUUUUGUUUGGUUUCACAAUCGCCGAUGAAAGAUAGACACCCUAUCCCAUUUUGAUUGGUGACUAUAUAUUUGCGAUCUAGCGAGUUACAACAUUGCAAAAUAGCCAAAACGUUUGGUUUGGUCCUGGUCUACUUUAUUUUUGGUUUGUUCCAAGGGUUUAAUUUCUUGAUCUGGUUAUGGCUAUUUUUUUAUUGAUUUUAUAAAUUAACUGUUUCAUUUGUUUUAAUUUAGGUUUCCAUGUUUGCAAAUAAAAAAAAUGCAAAAGGUAAGCCUUCAAAGCUCACAUGGACAGCUUUGAAUACAAGUUUGUUGAUUGUUAAUAUAGGUACAUGUUGUCCCGAGCUUAAGGUUAGUUAAUUGCACUUUUCAAUUUUUCUUUUGAUCAGUCAAAUAUCACUAAUGGCAAUGGUUUUAAUGUUAGUGUGCAUCAAUCUAUUGAGGUUUUACAUGCUGGUAUAAAAAAUAAAUUUAAAAGGAAAUGGUCAAACCUUGCCAGAAUGGUUUCAGGUUCGUAUCUAGAUGUAAAUAGUUGCUUUAGUCUAACAACAUGUUUUUGUAUGUUAGACAGAUCAUGUGAGCAUCCAUUUAGCUUAUACCAGAAGAUCCUUCGGUUGGAAUCCCAAAUAAAGUACCACUGGAGUAUAGAGCUAUUUCUUUUUGGCAAUUCAAUUUGCUCCAUCUGUGGUGUUGGGAACUAGGACGUGAACCAUAUUCUGAUCGCUUGCCAAUUUUCCAAUUUGCCAAUUCUGUUUGGAGUCAAAUUUGCCUUUGGAUUUAAAUCCCUCCCAUCAAGCUGAACAUAUAAGUGAGGUCAGAAACGAUUCCUCGCACGUUUAUGUAUAUGGUACAGAGCAACCUAAGCAAGGAAGCAAGAAAAUAGGAAAAGGCUACACUUUUUAUGAUUUCCAUUUGACUGCAAACCAUUUUUUCGCUUCUUGCUUAAUGGCGAAAAGCGUGUGGUGGGAGAUUUUUAAUUGGAUCAGAGUGUCGAUGCCUCAGAACAUGAACAAGCUGGUGGACAUUUUAAGUGUUUUGUGGACAGCAUCAGGAGAAAAAAAAUGUAAGAAGCUGGUCUAUACGGUGGUUAUGGCGUCGGUGUGGAGACUUUGGAAGGCGAGGAAUUUAAAGGUGUACGAAAACAAGUUUUUGCACAUCUGGGAAGUCAUGGAGCUGACUAAAGAGGACACCUUUGUUUGGAUAUGCAAUAGAACCAAGCUCCCAACGCCGAAGUAGGAUAAUUGGCUACAAUUGGAUGUCAUAGAACUGUUGUAAUAGGAUGUGUUUUUUGCUCUUUUUGUUUUGUUUGUUCUAUUGGAGUUGGGUUCUUGGAUUGCAUCUUCCCAGCUCCUCCUUCCUGGGAAGUUUCUUUUUUCUCUGUAUAGAUAUAGAUUGUAGGCGUUAAAAAACACAAAAGACAUUGUAUUAGUAGUUUAGUACUCCUUAUUAUGUUAUUAAGGUAUCAAAACGU